Molecule: ribosomal RNA, 497 nt
Filed under: uncultured bacterium
Lineage: Bacteria
Description: partial 16S ribosomal RNA
Rfam family: Bacterial small subunit ribosomal RNA
Source: RNAcentral
GACGAACGCUGGCGGCGUGCCUAAUACAUGCCAGUUGAGCGCUGAAGGUUGGUACUUGUACCAACUGGAUGAGCAGCGAACGGGUGAGUAACGCGUGGGGAAUCUGCCUUUGAGCGUGGGACAACAUUUGGAAACGAAUGCUAAUACCGCAUAAAAACUUUAAACACAAGUUUUAAGUUUGAAAGAUGCAAUUGCAUCACUCAAAGAUGAUCCCGCGUUGUAUUAGCUAGUUGGUGAGGUAAAGGCUCACCAAGGCGAUGAUACAUAGCCGACCUGAGAGGGUGAUCGGCCACAUUGGGACUGAGACACGGCCCAAACUCCUACGGGAGGCAGCAGUAGGGAAUCUUCGGCAAUGGACGAAAGUCUGACCGAGCAACGCCGCGUGAGUGAAGAAGGUUUUCGGAUCGUAAAACUCUGUUGGUAGAGAAGAACGUUGGUGAGAGUGGAAAGCUCAUCAAGUGACGGUAACUACCCAGAAAGGGACGGCUAACUACGUG